UUUUUCUUUCAGGGUCAACAC
This 21-nucleotide non-coding RNA is filed under the name Arabidopsis thaliana (thale cress). The record is from RNAcentral. Lineage: Eukaryota; Viridiplantae; Streptophyta; Magnoliopsida; Brassicales; Brassicaceae.